Panicum virgatum (switchgrass) is the source of this 1829-nucleotide long non-coding RNA. RefSeq lists it as uncharacterized. The record is from RefSeq and is a predicted model, not a curated record. The transcript is spliced from 5 exons. NCBI's taxonomy places the organism in Eukaryota, Viridiplantae, Streptophyta, Magnoliopsida, Poales, Poaceae.
UCUCCUCUAACCUCUCCACAGCCGCCACGCCUCCAUCACCUCCACAGCCGCCGCACCCCCAUCUGCCCCCACCGCUGCCGCGACCACAUCUCCGACACCGCCGGCGGCCUUCGCGCACCCAUCUCCUCCUCCGUAUGGGGCGGCCAGCACGCCCCAUCUCCUCCGCCUCCACCGGUCGACGCGCAGCCUUCUCCUGCACCUCCGACAGCCGGCGCGCCCCAUCAAUUGCACCUCCGACGGCCGGCGCGCCACAUCUCCUUCUCCAGAUCCGGCGCGUCCCAUCUCCUUCUCCAGUUCUGGUUGCCGGCGUGCCCCAUCUCCUCAACCUUCGACGGCUGGCGCGACCCAUCUCCUCCACCACCGAUGGCCGGCGCGCGCCAUCUCCUCAUGCGGCAGGCGCUAGCGCUAGUCCACGCGGAGCCCCGGGUGCGCCGGCCGCCGUGCCCUCGGACGCGCCAUGAGGCUCCAUGGCUUGCCUGCCCGCCGCUGCUUAUGCACCCCCAUGGGCCCUCCCCCGAGCGCCGCAUUCACCGCAUUGACCAGCUGCAGGUGUUUGAUGAGAUGAAGCACCACCUCAAGGAGAUGAAGGAGGCCGCCACGCUUCGUGAGAUGCAGGCCAAGGUCACCCAGGAGAUGCAAGGUUCGGGCCCCCUUCCCUCCCCCGUGUGCACUACUUUCCCCCUUGAAAUUGACAAUAUCUGAAGAAGGGUGCGAAUUAGCUGAUUGGAUUAGAACCUGGAAGCGAUAUGAUGUGCUGGGUUGCUUAUUUUUGUUGAUGUGUGGAAUGCAGGGUGGUUGGGAAAUCAACUUGCAUAUGCUUAUGGGUAGAUGUGUUUUGGCUGAUUGAGUUAGAAACUAGUAGUUAUAUGGUUGGUUAGGAAUCUUGAAUUAAAUUGUAUCCCACUAUUUUAUCAUGGUCUCCCUAUCACUUUAACAAAAUUUUAAGAUUCCUUUCUAUUUGCACAUAAUAAACUGCCACGUGCAUCUUGGAUUGCCACUACCAACUUGGAUUUGCUAAUUUGUGCACCUUGCAGAUAACUCCAUGUUUGUGUAGAUCAAUAGCUAAGUAGUAUAUUGCUAAGGCUAAUUUUCAUCUGUACCUCACAACUAACCAUGAAAGUAUCUUUGAUAUUUUUUAUCCUUGUAUGUCAACUCUAAGUGUCUAUUGCUUGAAAGCAUGGAUAUAUAGAAUCUAAUUUCUAAGCAGCGGUCCUGCAUGUCAACUCGCUGUGGUAACUAGUACAUUUCUCCCCUGUUUGCUUUGCCAUUCAUGCUCCAUGGUUGAAUUAUUCUGGUUCUGGUACCUUUUAGUACUAGCUGUGUGGAUGUGAUGAGAUAAAAUUUGAAAUCUGAGCAUGUGUUUUCAUCUUGUUGCGAGGCCAAUGCUGCUCGUCUCCAAACCAGGGUGUCAUGUGCCAACAAAGAGAGAUGUGCAGCAACGGCUCAAGCUCUGAUUUUAGAUAAUCAACACAAGCAGUGAGGCUUUGGGCAGCUAGCCAGGGAUGGUAUCAGAUUGCUGAGGUUCAGAUCAACAAGAGCAAUGCAUCAGCUCAGCUUGUCAGAGAGGGAGACAGUGAACAAGGUGAGAGGGAGGACAACACACCCCAUUGCAAGAGAUUGAAAAUUUGAAGAUGGCAACGAAGGGGUUGAUCCAUUACUUUUUUUUGUUACCUUCUAAUUUAUGAUGAAAUGCCACUGCAUAUUGUCUUGUAUCUUGUGAAAAUUGGUAUUGUAAUUCUGAAAAUGGGUUUGUAAUAGCUUAUUGUGACUUCUGGAUGGAACUUUUCUUUAAUAAGUGGGCUGGAAAAAUUGGUGGGCUGUUUUUUAUA